RNAcentral lists this ribosomal RNA (103 nucleotides) under [Mycoplasma] falconis. RNAcentral describes it as "Mycoplasma falconis partial 23S ribosomal RNA". It matches the Rfam family "Bacterial large subunit ribosomal RNA", at positions 2824 to 2925 of the family's 2925-position model. The record is from RNAcentral. Lineage: Bacteria; Bacillati; Mycoplasmatota; Mycoplasmoidales; Metamycoplasmataceae.
UCCCUUUAAAUUCCUUAUAGACUAUGAGGUUGAUAGGCUGGAGGUGUAAGUACAGCAAUGUAUUCAGCUGACCAGUACUAAUAAAUUGAUAGGUUUAAUAGUU